UAAUCCAUUUCGAGUACUAGGCUACUCAGAGUUUCAACUAAAUCCACACAUAUAUCUCAUAUAUCAAAAUAGAUCUAGUCCAACAUGCAGAUCUAAUCUAAACAUACUUAAAAUUAAAUCUAAUCUAAAUAUUUUUAGAUCUGAUCACUACUUCAGAUCACAUCUGAAUCAGAUCUGAUCUUGAUUUAGAUCUAUGAUCUGUACAACUUAGUUCUGAUACCAGUUGAAGGAUCGGGUUGGUGCAUC
This 246-nucleotide long non-coding RNA is filed under the name Elaeis guineensis (African oil palm). RNAcentral's name for it is "long non-coding RNA (EGUI_LNC010240)". The record is from RNAcentral. Lineage: Eukaryota; Viridiplantae; Streptophyta; Magnoliopsida; Arecales; Arecaceae.